RNAcentral lists this long non-coding RNA (422 nucleotides) under Mytilus galloprovincialis (Mediterranean mussel). The record is from RNAcentral. Lineage: Eukaryota; Metazoa; Mollusca; Bivalvia; Mytilida; Mytilidae.
AUUUCCGUAUUUUUCGCGCUAAGGCACGGCGGACUUGUAGGCAAGCCCGACGAACAUCCUGGAAAAAAUUUGUCUCGGGGAUAACAUCUCGCACUCCGAUGACAAAAGUUUGGAAUAUGGUACAAAAAAUAAAAGGUAAAAAUUCUAAAGCCACUGUAAAACAUUUGAAAGACGGCAAUGAUUUAUUAACAUCUGAAAAGGAUAUUGCCAACAAGCUUGGUGAAACUUUUGCGAAAUCUUCUUCUUGUAACAACUACAGGGAAGAUUUUAAAAAAGUUAAUAAAACAAAAAGAGAAAAUUAAAUUAAACUUUAAAUCAAAAAAUGGUGAAAAUUAUAAUAAACUAUUUUCUCUUGAAGAACUUAAAACAUCUCUGUCAAAAGCCCAUGAUACAGCUUGUGGGCCUGAUAAUAUUCACUACCA